AUUGAACGCUGGCGGCAGGCCUAACACAUGCAAGUCGAACGGUAACAGGAAGCAGCUUGCUGCUUCGCUGACGAGUGGCGGACGGGUGAGUAAUGUCUGGGAAGCUGCCUGAUGGAGGGGGAUAACUACUGGAAACGGUAGCUAAUACCGCAUAAUGUCGCAAGACCAAAGAGGGGGACCUUCGGGCCUCUUGCCAUCGGAUGUGCCCAGAUGGGAUUAGCUUGUUGGUGGGGUAACGGCUCACCAAGGCGACGAUCCCUAGCUGGUCUGAGAGGAUGACCAGCCACACUGGAACUGAGACGCGGUCCAGACUCCUACGGGAGGCAGCAGUGGGGAAUAUUGCACAAUGGGCGCAAGCCUGAUGCAGCCAUGCCGCGUGUAUGAAGAAGGCCUUCGGGUUGUAAAGUACUUUCAGCGGGGAGGAAGGGAGUAAAGUUAAUACCUUUGCUCAUUGACGUUACCCGCAGAAGAAGCACCGGCUAACUCCGUG
Molecule: ribosomal RNA, 490 nt
Filed under: uncultured bacterium
Lineage: Bacteria
Description: partial 16S ribosomal RNA
Rfam family: Bacterial small subunit ribosomal RNA
Source: RNAcentral